AACGAACGCUGGCGGCAUGCCUAACACAUGCAAGUCGAACGAGACCUUCGGGUCUAGUGGCGCACGGGUGCGUAACGCGUGGGAACCUGCCCUUAGGUUCGGAAUAACUCCCCGAAAGGGGUGCUAAUACCGGAUAAUUUCUUCGGACCAAAGAUUUAUCGCCUUUGGAUGGGCCCGCGUUGGCUUAGCUAGUUGGUAGGGUAAAAGCCUACCAAGGCGACGAUCCAUAGCUGGUCUGAGAGGAUGAUCAGCCACACUGGGACUGAGACACGGCGCAGACUCCUACGGGAUGCAGCCAUGCGUAAUACAGGAAAACGGGCUAAGUCCUGAAGCACCUAUGCCGCGUGAGUGAUGAAGGCGUUAGAGUAGAAAAGCACUUUUACCCGCGACGAUACUGACAGUACCGAGAGAAUAAGCACCGGCUAACUUCGUG
RNAcentral lists this ribosomal RNA (433 nucleotides) under uncultured bacterium. RNAcentral's name for it is "partial 16S ribosomal RNA". It matches the Rfam family "Bacterial small subunit ribosomal RNA", at positions 29 to 507 of the family's 1533-position model. The record is from RNAcentral.